RNAcentral lists this ribosomal RNA (406 nucleotides) under uncultured bacterium. Its description in RNAcentral is "partial 16S ribosomal RNA". It matches the Rfam family "Bacterial small subunit ribosomal RNA", at positions 30 to 526 of the family's 1533-position model. The record is from RNAcentral.
AUUGAACGCUGGCGGCAGGCCUAACACAUGCAAGUCGAACGAGUGGCGGACGGGUGAGUAAUGUAUGGGAAACUGCCUGAUGGAGGGGGAUAACUACUGGAAACGGUAGCUAAUACCGCAUACCAUCAGAUGUGCCCAGAUGGGAUUAGCUAGUUGGUGGGGUAAAGGCUAACCAAGGCGACGAUCCCUAGCUGGUCUGAGAGGAUGACCAGCCACACUGGAACUGAGACACGGUCCAGACUCCUACGGGAGGCAGCAGUGGGGAAUAUUGCACAAUGGGCGCAAGCCUGAUGCAGCCAUGCCGCGUGUAUGAAGAAGGCCUUCGGGUUGUAAAGUACUUUCAGCGGGGAGGCGUUACCCGCAGAAGAAGCACCGGCUAACUCCGUGCCAGCAGCCGCGGUAAUUC